GACGAACGCUGGCGGCGUGCUUAACACAUGCAAGUCGAACGGAAAGGCCCUGCUUUUGUGGGGUGCUCGAGUGGCGAAAGGGUGAGUAACACGUGAGUAACCUGCCCUUGACUUUGGGAUAACUUCAGGAAACUGGGGCUAAUACCGGAUAGGAGCUCCUGCUGCCUGGUGGGGGUUGGAAAGUUUCGGCGGUUGGGGAUGGACUCGGGGCUUAUCAGCUUGUUGGUGGGGUAGUGGCUUACCAAGGCUUUGACGGGUAGCCGGCCUGGGGGGGUGACCGGCCACAUUGGGACUGAGAUACGGCCCAAACUCCUACGGGAGGCAGCAGUGGGGAAUAGUGCACAAUGGGCGGAAGCCUUAUGCAGCAACGCCGCGUGCGGGAUGACGGCCUCCGGGUUGUAAACCGCUUUCGCCUGUGACGAAGCGUGAGUGACGGUAAUGGGUAAAGAAACACCGGCUAACUACGUG
RNAcentral lists this ribosomal RNA (468 nucleotides) under uncultured bacterium. RNAcentral's name for it is "partial 16S ribosomal RNA". It matches the Rfam family "Bacterial small subunit ribosomal RNA", at positions 28 to 507 of the family's 1533-position model. The record is from RNAcentral.